UGGUGGCCUGGUCCCGGGAUGACCGGGCAGGGCGGAAAUCGUGGCGCUGCCUGCCGCGCUGAGAUAAGCGCCGGGGCGGGGCGUCGCCGAGAGGCCCAGGCGUUUCCCACCCGGGGCUGCAGCAAUUAACGCCGGGGUCCCAGGAAGGCCAUGCUGACUGGGACCUCGGAGCGCCUCUGCCGCCGGUUCCCAGGUCUCCCCCCAGAGGCCCUGCUUGGGGUGAAGGAAGAAGCGAAGAAAUGAGGCGGUUUGGCCCCAGGGCUAAUACGGUCUGAACCGAAAGGGAAGGGCUGGGGGCUGAAUGGAAGCUUGGGGCAGAAGGUUCCAGGGGUCUCCUCCUCAUGGCGGUCUGGGGCUGAGAAGACUCCGCAGGGUGACCCUGCUGUCCAGGGACUGGCGCCUCGAAAUUAGCACCUGCAGGGAGAUGUUUGCUUGGUCGCGUUACAAACAAAAAUCUUACUAUCCAUUGGGUGGACGCAGGGAUUUACAGUAUUGUAACUUCGUCACCCACCACAGGAAAGGUUCAGCCAAGAAAUCUAGAGAAGAUAGUCCAUGCACUGGGCAGCAAAGGCCCCAACCAAAUAACUUGCCUGAUCAUGGAUAAGACCAAUGCCCGAGGAGAGAAGAAUGAAGACUGCAGAUAUGGAAGGCCAACUCUACUAUCUUCGAAGUUACUACCUCUGAAUUUCUUUGACCUGACAAAUAGGUAAGUGUGUAUUGUUUAAGCAACUAUCUUAAAGCUAAACAAUCCUGAGAUAAGGGUGCUGCAGAUAAAGGGACACGCAGGUACAAAGGUUCUGAGGAAGGAAAGUGCUUCACAUAGCAAGUCACAGCAAGGUGAAGUGACUGAGGUGUAAGUAAUAGGUGGAAAUGGUCAGAGAUAGGGUGAGCUGAUGGAGAGUUAGAUAGUAUAGGAUCUGGCAGUUCACAGGGACUUUGAGAUUUUCGUUUCCCUUCACUUCAUUUCAUUUCACUUCAUUGAUAGGACCAGACUGGCCUCAAACUCCUGGGCUCAAGCAAUCCUCCUGAGUAUCUAGGACUGUGGUUGUGUGCCAUCAAACCUAGUUGUGCUUUUAUUGAGGUAUGGGCAUCCAUUGAAGGAUUCUGAAAAGAAAAAUACCCAAACUGGUUUAUAUUUUAAAAUAAUCUUUUGUAGCAACCUGACCAAUGCUAAUGUUUAAA
Molecule: long non-coding RNA, 1182 nt
Filed under: Fukomys damarensis (Damara mole-rat)
Lineage: Eukaryota; Metazoa; Chordata; Mammalia; Rodentia; Bathyergidae
Description: lncRNA (ENSFDAG00000022120.1)
Source: RNAcentral